CUUUAGUGUGUACGUAGAAGAACAAGGUGGCGUCCGUGGCUCUCAUAUCUGAACUGUUUGGAGAAAUUCUUUGGUGAAUUAUUUCGUGUAUGGUUUCGCACGAUUAUCGUAAUGUUAAUUACAGAAGGUGGGACACUUGUACCAGAACCAAAAUAAACUGGCCUGAGACUGUAUCUGAAAUCUGUCUAGGGCUUCCGGACUAGUACCUGGUAAUCAUGGCUCCUGUUGAUCUAAUGAAAGUUGCUGGCAAAAUAGCGGGUGUGGUGGCGGAGACUGCUAUAAAGAAAGUAGCUAAGAAAGCAAUGAAGAGGAGAGUUCGUAAGGUUGGGGGUUCAAGAAGUGUGAAAGAUAUGGUAGACAGUGGUCUUCGGCAGAUGGCGGAACCUGGCGGCGCUAAGAACUUACUACAGAAGGGCUUGGCCAAGUUGCAGGCUAAAGGUGUGAAGAUUGCCACUGAACUGUUACAAAUGACUUGCGAGGGUGUGGUGUCGGUGUAUCCAGAGGGACUAGCGAUUGAGUUCAGACCAGACGGUACUUGUCAUAUCACAGAAGUGCCUAAGAGAUGCGAGCCUAGGAACGGUGAGGCGGCACACACACUUAAAGCCGAACAUACUUAAUAUACUGGAGCAUCUGAAGUUUCGAAGAGGCCUACUACCCUAAAGACUUGUCUCCAGCAGCAACUGGCUCCAGCUGGCUCUGUAGUUCAGCUGGUUCACUACCAGCUGGUUCACUACCAGCUGGUUCUGAAGUUUUAAGCUUUGUCUUCCAAAACUUUUAAGUCCCCUCCCUGGUCAAUUUCACUUUCACAAUCUUUCAAAAUUUUUAAUUUUUAAACUUUAUUUUUUUCCUAUUUACUCAAUAUUUUGCGAAAUAUUGGUCAUUUAUACACCUGUCAUUAAUAAAUUUUUUAUGAAGU
This is a non-coding RNA of Cherax quadricarinatus, 916 nucleotides long. The record is from RefSeq and is a predicted model, not a curated record. NCBI's taxonomy places the organism in Eukaryota, Metazoa, Arthropoda, Malacostraca, Decapoda, Parastacidae.